Molecule: long non-coding RNA, 1227 nt
Organism: Contarinia nasturtii (swede midge)
Lineage: Eukaryota; Metazoa; Arthropoda; Insecta; Diptera; Cecidomyiidae
Exons: 3
Source: RefSeq, a predicted model, not a curated record
ACUCGACAAAUGAGACUGAAAGACCAUAUAACGAUGAACAAAUAUUUUAACGUUUUGAGUAGUUAAGUAACUUAAUGUGUGAGUUGCACGUAAUGCCGACUGUGUUAAAAAAAUUUUGCUUCCUAGAUUUACGUGUUUACAUAUAUAAUGGAGUUGGUAAUUGUAUUUUACAUGGUAUAUAAUUAAAUUGCAAAUAAUAACGGUUCCUUCUGUGAAGAUAAAGUUGAAAGUGAAUGAAAUGUUCAGAUUAUUAAAUUCCAUGGUGUAAGAUAUGCAUUGAUGUUGGGAUUAUAAUGCAUUCCAUAUGAUGGCAAUAGAUUCGGAUGCAACAUCGAUGGCCCGAAUGUCGAAUGCAAUGGGAAGUGUUGCGGCCAAAAUUCGGUCGAAUGUGUAGCGGUUGCGGCAAUAUUACGCAAUGUAGAAUUAUUAUGUGGAAUUGAUAAUGGAAAUUCAGCACGACGGUUUUGAAACCACACCUGUUACAAAAGAGGAAAAAAUUAUUAUUACUUUAAUUGUAUUCAUCGGCAGCAGUCAAAAUCGGCAUUGGCACAAAAAAAAAUGUCAAUCUUUCUUCUUAUCGUCAAACUUUUUGGCUUGCUUUUUAAAGACGCGAUUUAAUAACAUAAGAAUAAUAAAAAUGUACUGUACCUGAACACGAGCCUCGGUCAAUUCCAAUCGAAGAGCCAAUUCUUCGCGUGUGAAAACAUCGGGAUAUUGUAUUUUUUCAAAUGCUCGUUCCAGCUGAUUUAAUUGAAAGGUGGAGAAUGUUGUUCUCGAUCGACUUCAAAUAUAAAAUAAAAUCAAAUUAUUUUACUGUUUAUAACAAAAGAGCAUCAAUUAAUCACUGUUAUUGAUAAUUACCGUCUUAUUUUACGUGGUCGGCUCAUGUCGUUUGGGUCAUGAUCAACCACAUCCAAAUCGCCCGUCAAUGAAUAGUCGUCGUCAUUUUCAAUGUCCAACUCGAUUUCAUGAUCUGAAAGGAAAAAUCAUUCAAAAAAGUUAAUUUUCAGAAUUGAUUGAAAAAAAAAAACGAAAAUUCUCUUCAUUCUCCGCUACACCACAUAGUCAACUUACCCAUUGUGUUAUUAUUUUGGCCGUCGUGUAUUCCCAAUAUUUGAUCGAUACUAUAAACACCUUUCGGCUUGGAUAUUGUCUCGAUCUGUGAUGAUUGCAUGAUGAUUUUUUUCUUCGCCUCUUUGUUUACUAUAGAAUGGUCCUUCAAUACGU